AUUCGUUCUUGGCCUUCUGGCUAAGAUCAAAUGUUGUAUCUGUUCUUCUCAGUUUAAUAUCUGAUCCGUCCUCUAUCUGAGGACAAUAUAUUAAAUGGAUUUUGGGAGCUGGGAGACGGAAUAGGAGCUUGCUCCGUCCCCUCCAUGCAUCGGCCUGGUAUUGCAGUACCUCCAGGAACGGUGCACCCCCU
Molecule: small nuclear RNA, 191 nt
Filed under: Chinchilla lanigera (long-tailed chinchilla)
Lineage: Eukaryota; Metazoa; Chordata; Mammalia; Rodentia; Chinchillidae
Description: U2 spliceosomal RNA (ENSCLAG00000020622.1)
Rfam family: U2 spliceosomal RNA
About the family: U2 is a small nuclear RNA (snRNA) component of the spliceosome (involved in pre-mRNA splicing).
Source: Rfam by way of RNAcentral